GUUAUAUGGUCAAGUGAAGAAGCGCAUACGGUGGAUGCCUUGGCAGUCAGAGGCGAUGAAAGACGUGGUAGCCUGCGAAAAGCUUCGGGGAGUCGGCAAACAGACUGUGAUCCGGAGAUGUCUGAAUGGGGGAACCCAGCCAUCAUAAGAUGGUUAUCUUGUACUGAAUACAUAGGUGCAAGAGGCGAACCAGGGGAACUGAAACAUCUAAGUACCCUGAGGAAAAGAAAUCAACCGAGAUUCCCUUAGUAGUGGCGAGCGAACGGGGACCAGCCCUUAAGUUGUAUUGAGAUUAGCGGAACGUUCUGGAAAGGACGGCCAUAGUGGGUGAUAGCCCUGUACGCGAAAAUCCCUUUGCAAUGAAAUCGAGUAGGACGGGGCACGAGAAACCUUGUCUGAAUAUGGGGGGACCAUCCUCCAAGGCUAAAUACUACUGACUGACCGAUAGUGAACCAGUACCGUGAGGGAAAGGCGAAAAGAACCGCGGAGAGCGGAGUGAAAUAGAUCCUGAAACCGUAUGCGUACAAGCAGUGGGAGCCCACUUUGUUGGGUGACUGCGUACCUUUUGUAUAAUGGGUCAGCGACUUAUUUUCAGUGGCGAGCUUAACCGAAUAGGGGAGGCGUAGCGAAAGCGAGUCUUAAUAGGGCGUCUAGUCGCUGGGAAUAGACCCGAAACCGGGCGAUCUAUCCAUGGGCAGGUUGAAGGUUGGGUAACACUAACUGGAGGACCGAACCGACUACCGUUGAAAAGUUAGCGGAUGACCUGUGGAUCGGAGUGAAAGGCUAAUCAAGCUCGGAGAUAGCUGGUUCUCCUCGAAAGCUAUUUAGGUAGCGCCUCAUGUAUCACUGUAGGGGGUAGAGCACUGUUUCGGCUAGGGGGUCAUCCCGACUUACCAAACCGAUGCAAACUCCGAAUACCUACAAGUGCCGAGCAUGGGAGACACACGGCGGGUGCUAACGUCCGUCGUGAAAAGGGAAACAACCCAGACCGUCAGCUAAGGUCCCAAAGUCAUGGUUAAGUGGGAAACGAUGUGGGAAGGCUUAGACAGCUAGGAGGUUGGCUUAGAAGCAGCCACCCUUUAAAGAAAGCGUAAUAGCUCACUAGUCGAGUCGGCCUGCGCGGAAGAUGUAACGGGGCUCAAACCAUGCACCGAAGCUACGGGUAUCAUCUUUUGAUGAUGCGGUAGAGGAGCGUUCUGUAAGCCUGUGAAGGUGAGUUGAGAAGCUUGCUGGAGGUAUCAGAAGUGCGAAUGCUGACAUGAGUAACGACAAUGGGUGUGAAAAACACCCACGCCGAAAGACCAAGGUUUCCUGCGCAACGUUAAUCGACGCAGGGUUAGUCGGUCCCUAAGGCGAGGCUGAAAAGCGUAGUCGAUGGAAAACAGGUUAAUAUUCCUGUACUUCUGGUUAUUGCGAUGGAGGGACGGAGAAGGCUAGGCCAGCCUGGCGUUGGUAGUCCAGGUUUAAGGUGGUAGGCUGAGAUCUUAGGUAAAUCCGGGAUCUUAAGGCCGAGAGCUGAUGACGAGUGUUCUUUUAGAACACGAAGUGGUUGAUGCCAUGCUUCCAAGAAAAGCUUCUAAGCUUCAGGUAACCAGGAACCGUACCCCAAACCGACACAGGUGGUUGGGUAGAGAAUACCAAGGCGCUUGAGAGAACUCGGGUGAAGGAACUAGGCAAAAUGGCACCGUAACUUCGGGAGAAGGUGCGCCGGUGGAGGUGAAGCAUUUACUGCGUAAGCCCCUGCCGGUCGAAGAUACCAGGCCGCUGCGACUGUUUAUUAAAAACACAGCACUCUGCAAACACGAAAGUGGACGUAUAGGGUGUGACGCCUGCCCGGUGCCGGAAGGUUAAUUGAUGGGGUUAGCGCAAGCGAAGCUCUUGAUCGAAGCCCCGGUAAACGGCGGCCGUAACUAUAACGGUCCUAAGGUAGCGAAAUUCCUUGUCGGGUAAGUUCCGACCUGCACGAAUGGCGUAACGAUGGCGGCGCUGUCUCCACCCGAGACUCAGUGAAAUUGAAAUCGCUGUGAAGAUGCAGUGUAUCCGCGGCUAGACGGAAAGACCCCGUGAACCUUUACUAUAGCUUUGCACUGGACUUUGAAUUUGCUUGUGUAGGAUAGGUGGGAGGCUUUGAAGCGUGGACGCCAGUCUGCGUGGAGCCAACCUUGAAAUACCACCCUGGCAACUUUGAGGUUCUAACUCAGGUCCGUUAUCCGGAUCGAGGACAGUGUAUGGUGGGUAGUUUGACUGGGGCGGUCUCCUCCUAAAGAGUAACGGAGGAGUACGAAGGUGCGCUCAGACCGGUCGGAAAUCGGUCGUAGAGUAUAAAGGCAAAAGCGCGCUUGACUGCGAGACAGACACGUCGAGCAGGUACGAAAGUAGGUCUUAGUGAUCCGGUGGUUCUGUAUGGAAGGGCCAUCGCUCAACGGAUAAAAGGUACUCCGGGGAUAACAGGCUGAUACCGCCCAAGAGUUCAUAUCGACGGCGGUGUUUGGCACCUCGAUGUCGGCUCAUCACAUCCUGGGGCUGAAGCCGGUCCCAAGGGUAUGGCUGUUCGCCAUUUAAAGUGGUACGCGAGCUGGGUUUAGAACGUCGUGAGACAGUUCGGUCCCUAUCUGCCGUGGACGUUUGAGAUUUGAGAGGGGCUGCUCCUAGUACGAGAGGACCGGAGUGGACGAACCUCUGGUGUUCCGGUUGUCACGCCAGUGGCAUUGCCGGGUAGCUAUGUUCGGAAAAGAUAACCGCUGAAAGCAUCUAAGCGGGAAACUUGCCUCAAGAUGAGAUCUCACUGGAACCUUGAGUUCCCUAAAGGGCCGUCGAAGACUACGACGUUGAUAGGUUGGGUGUGUAAGCGCUGUGAGGCGUUGAGCUAACCAAUACUAAUUGCCCGUGAGGCUUGACCAUAUAACACCCAAGCAAUU
This 2918-nucleotide ribosomal RNA is filed under the name Pseudomonas syringae. RNAcentral's name for it is "bacterial LSU rRNA". It matches the Rfam family "Bacterial large subunit ribosomal RNA". RNAcentral also lists the same sequence under 2 other names. Lineage: Bacteria; Pseudomonadati; Pseudomonadota; Gammaproteobacteria; Pseudomonadales; Pseudomonadaceae. The record is from RNAcentral.